CCACAAACUGACGUGUAAUCUUGGCUCUGUAUGCCUCGCAAAAAGCAGGUUUACGCCACCUUUGCCACUGAUUGCCCAUUAUCUGACACGUAUAAUGACACAAAGGCCUCGUACAAAUGGUAAAUGUGUGAAGUUACCCAAAAGAAGGCUGAACCAUGGUUCUAUCGCAUAGGCAGUUGAGUCCCUGAGUUGCGCUUCAGGUAUAAGUUGUCCACGCUUCACUCUCACGCACUGGGGUGAGAUCUACCAUUUGAUCUUGAAAAUCUCCCUUAAUGUUCAGGGAAGGGAAACCAGCCAGGUUAUGCCUUUAAAGGGCUCGUGCCUUGUCCUUGAAAGACCUCUUGCCCAGAUGUCAGACACUAGUCGCAACAGUCACAGCCCACCACCUGUCUCCGAGUUCCAAUGCGUCUUGAGCGUCACACCGAUGAACAAGUAUGCGUUGCACCAUGGUGCGCUAUAGUUUUUGUGCUGGGACCUCGUGGCGCAAUGGUAGUGCGUCUGACUCCAGAUCAGAAGGUUGCGUGUUCAAAUCACGUCGGGGUCAUUCAAUGUGCUCUUUUUCACACAGACCCAUGAUUUUCUGCGCAGUCUAAUAAGGAUGCUGUUAUGUGGACUCCAAUCUCUAUGAUGACCACCCAUGUCUUUGUCAACUUCAUGCUAAAAGUGCCCAAAGCCCGUGGUGGUGGCAGUGCAUGGCGUUUGUGUGGAAGCAGGAGUGGAUCUAAUCACAGCCUGUAGAAGGUGGUCCGAGUUCAGUUACAAUGGAACUGUGAAUGUGAAUUGUCCCAUGAAUGUGAACGUAACUUGUAUCCGGGUCCGCACUUUUUCAGGAAGUAGAGUAACCUGUGCUGAAGGCCUGUUGUGGUGAUGACGUGUCAUGACAUGUUUUGGCCCAAAUCUGCAGUGACUUUGAAAAAGUGGAAGCUCCUCUGAAUAUUGUGGAGUUUCUUGAUUUUGCGUUAAUUUCUGUGAUCACAAAAAGGUGAAAUUCUGGACUGACACAUGGAAGAUAUGGAAUGAUAACAGAAGAAUGUGACUUUGGGUUGUACCGUGUAUUUUUUUCAUGUAGCUUUAUUAUUUAGUAUAAAUGAAGGCAAGUGUGUGUUCUGUUCUUCAUCUCUGCAGUCUUGUGUUCCCUGAUAGUCAAUGAUUGCUGGAGCUCUGGAAAUAGCAGGUGAGAUUGCAGGCCGGAGUCCCGUCGCUGUCCAAGGAACCAAAAUCAACCUCCUCUACUCCUGAGACCACAGUGUGACUGAGAGCCUAGACUACAUGGAGAACGAGAAACUCGGACACAACAGUACAUCCUGACCAUUGGUACUGUGUACACAUCAACAUACACACACGUCUCCAUGCUGGACAUCUCAGGAGCUUUCACACAGUGCUAGGAAUAUCCCGGGACAGAGAAACGCACCUUCUAAGUGAGCGAGUUUAGCGUCAACCGGUGAAAUUUGCUGUAGCGUGAACACUUCGCCUCUGUGAGCUUCACUCUCCGUAGGGUUCACUGUAAUUAGACAUAAAAUGUACAUAGUUUAUUUUUCAUGCAUUUAGGAUUUCAUGUUUUUUUUUUUUUUUUUUUUUUUUUUUUUUUUUUUUUUUUACUCUUUGAGGAACAGAAAUGAUAUUUCGAGGCAGCUUCUUCUUCACUACCUGCUCCGUUUGACUCAAAAAUGUAACGACCGGUUUCAAAAAGUCACGAUGUCUUCAGUUCAUGUGAUUUUACUGUUGAAUUUAAACAGGAAAUGUGAAAUAUUUUUUCCCUUUGUUUCCUCUACUGUCUUUUUGCUGUGAUCUUGAACACAGUUGUAAUUUAAAAAAAAAAAAAUAAUAAUAAAAAAAUUAUAAUUCUAGUUCUCUCACUUUCCUUGUCCUAAUUGUCCUGUAUCUGUUAAAUCCGUUUCAUCUCUGGUCUUUCUGUCUGUAUGAAC
Ictalurus punctatus (channel catfish) is the source of this 1925-nucleotide long non-coding RNA. The record is from Ensembl. NCBI's taxonomy places the organism in Eukaryota, Metazoa, Chordata, Actinopteri, Siluriformes, Ictaluridae.